This is a non-coding RNA of Crenichthys baileyi (White River springfish), 77 nucleotides long. The record is from the annotation of a GenBank genome assembly. NCBI's taxonomy places the organism in Eukaryota, Metazoa, Chordata, Actinopteri, Cyprinodontiformes, Goodeidae.
GGCGACUGUGGCUCAGUGGGAAGAGUAGUUGUCUUGAAAUCCAAAAGUUGUGGGUUUGAUUCCAACAUUUUUUGCCA